This 71-nucleotide transfer RNA is filed under the name Candidatus Doudnaibacteriota bacterium. RNAcentral describes it as "Candidatus Doudnabacteria bacterium tRNA-Pro". It matches the Rfam family "tRNA". Rfam says of the family: Transfer RNA (tRNA) molecules are approximately 80 nucleotides in length. Their secondary structure includes four short double-helical elements and three loops (D, anti-codon, and T loops). Further hydrogen bonds mediate the characteristic L-shaped molecular structure. tRNAs have two regions of fundamental functional importance: the anti-codon, which is responsible for specific mRNA codon recognition, and the 3' end, to which the tRNAs corresponding amino acid is attached (by aminoacyl-tRNA synthetases). tRNAs cope with the degeneracy of the genetic code in two manners: having more than one tRNA (with a specific anti-codon) for a particular amino acid; and 'wobble' base-pairing, i.e. permitting non-standard base-pairing at the 3rd anti-codon position. The record is from RNAcentral. Lineage: Bacteria; Candidatus Doudnaibacteriota.
CGGGGUAUGGGGUAGUGGGAGCCCGCGUGCAUGGGGUGCAUGUAGCGGCGGUUCAAUUCCGCCUACCCCGA